AACGAACGCUGGCGGCAUGCCUAACACAUGCAAGUCGAACGAGACCUUCGGGUCUAGUGGCGCACGGGUGCGUAACGCGUGGGAAUCUGCCCUUGGGUUCGGAAUAACAGCGAGAAAUUGCUGCUAAUACCGGAUGAUGACGUAAGUCCAAAGAUUUAUCGCCCAAGGAUGAGCCCGCGUAGGAUUAGCUAGUUGGUGAGGUAAAGGCUCACCAAGGCGACGAUCCUUAGCUGGUCUGAGAGGAUGAUCAGCCACACUGGGACUGAGACACGGCCCAGACUCCUACGGGAGGCAGCAGUGGGGAAUUUUGGACAAUGGGGGGCAACCCUGAUCCAGCAAUGCCGCGUGAGUGAAGAAGGCCUCGGGUUGUAAGGACUCUUUUGUUCUAGGGAAGAAAC
RNAcentral lists this ribosomal RNA (398 nucleotides) under uncultured bacterium. RNAcentral describes it as "bacterial SSU rRNA". It matches the Rfam family "Bacterial small subunit ribosomal RNA", at positions 29 to 451 of the family's 1533-position model. The record is from RNAcentral.